CUAAGCCCAUCUACAUUUUUCAUUAUUGACCUGAUAUCUGAUUUUGUUCUGCUGCCUGGUCCUCCAGGAGCUGGAGAGCAACACCAAAGCCAUGCAAGACAAACAUGAGGACCUGAGGAAGGAGGUGGCCCAGAGACAACAAGAAGUCCGGUAUUACAUUGUGAAGCUCAAAGCUGUUUACACCAUCUGGUGAUGUCUUCAUUGCACUGUCUUGUUGUUGUUUUGCUCUUUUGCACAGGGGUCUGAUAGAAGACAUAGAAACCCAUGAAGCAGAGAUACUGAAAGAACGGAAAGCGCUGGAAGAUACGAAAGAGAUCAUAGAGCUCAAAAAGGCUGAGAAAGUCCACCUCAUCAGCAUACCUGACCAGAUUUCAAAGGAGACUGAAAGAAAGCGAUCCAAGAGGGACGCUGCCACAAAGAAGAUAGAAGCACUAAAUAUGGAAAUUGUAGAGGUGGAGCAGGAGGUGAAAAAAGUGGAUGAGCAUAACCAUUCCCUUAGGAUGAAGACCGAGGAGGUGAUGCAAGAGGUGGACAGUGUGAGGAACCAAGUGGAGGCCAGUCAAAAGGAAUACAGACAGCUGCAAAAGAAGCAGGAGGUCGGCAGGGAGGAGGAGGCUGAGUUCAUGGGUUACAGAGGCAUCUUGGAAAUGAAGCUGCAGAACAUCAUGUGUGACAGAAAGUACCUGUAUGAGAGCCAAUGUGUGCAGCUCAGGGAG
This is a long non-coding RNA of Parambassis ranga (Indian glassy fish), 716 nucleotides long. NCBI's taxonomy places the organism in Eukaryota, Metazoa, Chordata, Actinopteri, Ambassidae. The record is from Ensembl.